AUGGGGAUGCUGGGCGUGCAUGGCAAGCUUUUCUGGUUCCUGGUGGCGGCCCGUCUGAUCUACCGCGUCGCAGCUCCGGGCAAUUAUGUCUCGUGGCUGCGGUGCUCCUCUUCCGGCCGUGUCUCUGAUGGGGACAUCGCCCUUCCUCACCUUGUACAUGUCGUCGUGCAGCGGUACUUCAUCUCACUCAUUGAUGGCGGCGGAGAUCGGCGGCAUGGCGCUGUGGAGGCUCGGCGUCCGAUGCACGGAGAUGGACUCGCGCAGGAGGAGGUAGCUGUCUGGCGUCAUGAUGACGUUGAUGGCAAAGUGGCCUAG
Molecule: ribosomal RNA, 315 nt
Filed under: Triticum aestivum (bread wheat)
Lineage: Eukaryota; Viridiplantae; Streptophyta; Magnoliopsida; Poales; Poaceae
Description: partial small subunit ribosomal RNA
Source: RNAcentral